GGCUGGUCCCAAGGUAGUGAGUUAUCUCAUUUGAUUGUGCACGGUCACUUACAGAUCAAACUCCUUGUUCUACUCUCCCCCUUCUCACUUCUACACUUGACUAGUCUUCA
RNAcentral lists this Y RNA (110 nucleotides) under Microcebus murinus (gray mouse lemur). RNAcentral describes it as "Y RNA (ENSMICG00000047460.1)". It matches the Rfam family "Y RNA". Rfam says of the family: Y RNAs are components of the Ro ribonucleoprotein particle (Ro RNP), in association with Ro60 and La proteins. The record is from Rfam by way of RNAcentral. Lineage: Eukaryota; Metazoa; Chordata; Mammalia; Primates; Cheirogaleidae.